This 537-nucleotide ribosomal RNA is filed under the name Triticum aestivum (bread wheat). RNAcentral's name for it is "partial small subunit ribosomal RNA". The record is from RNAcentral. Lineage: Eukaryota; Viridiplantae; Streptophyta; Magnoliopsida; Poales; Poaceae.
AUGCUCCAGGGCACGGCCCGGACAUGGCUGAACAGCCUAAAGCCCCGCAGCAUCAAUAGCUGGGUCGACUUCACCGAAGCGUUCGUCCGCAACUUCACCAGCACGUACAAGCGUCCUCCCAAGCCUCGUCAGCUCUCCUUGUGCGUGCAAGGCCCCAACGAGUCGACUCGUGAUUACCUCACGCGUUGGGCCGAGCUUCGAAACUCCUGCGAGGGCGUGCACGAGGUGCAGGCCAUCGAGUACUUCACGGCCGGGUGCAGAGAAGGCACCCUCCUCAAGCACAAGCUCCUUUGCGACGAGCCAGAAACCCUUGACGAGCUGAUGAUCAUAGCGGACAAGUACACCACGGCCGACUCCUCCAUGAAGGCGGAAAUUCAAAUCAGCACGACUGGCAAAGUGGCUCCUCAAGCUCCAAGAACUCAGGCGGCAGACGCCGGCCGGCGACAACAGCAGGGCGACAACAAGCGCAAGGCCACGCAGCCGGCUUCCAGCAGCCGGCAGGUCGCGACCGUUGAAGCCCAGCAGCCAGAAGAGUAG